RNAcentral lists this ribosomal RNA (235 nucleotides) under uncultured bacterium. Its description in RNAcentral is "partial 16S ribosomal RNA". It matches the Rfam family "Bacterial small subunit ribosomal RNA", at positions 111 to 334 of the family's 1533-position model. The record is from RNAcentral.
UAACACGUGGGCAACCUGCCCGGAAGUGGGGAAUACCUCGGGGAAACUCGAGCUAAUACCGCAUAACAUCUUUAGGACGAUGGUCCUGACGAUCAAAGCGGGGUCGCAAGAUCUCGCGCUACCGGAUGGGCCCGCGCCUGAUUAGCUAGUUGGUGGGGUAACGGCUCACCAAGGCUUCGAUCAGUAACCGGCCUGAGAGGGCGAUCGGUCACACCGGAACUGAGACACGGUCCGG